Molecule: transfer RNA, 74 nt
Filed under: Crassvirales sp.
Lineage: Duplodnaviria; Heunggongvirae; Uroviricota; Caudoviricetes; Crassvirales
Description: tRNA-His
Rfam family: tRNA
About the family: Transfer RNA (tRNA) molecules are approximately 80 nucleotides in length. Their secondary structure includes four short double-helical elements and three loops (D, anti-codon, and T loops). Further hydrogen bonds mediate the characteristic L-shaped molecular structure. tRNAs have two regions of fundamental functional importance: the anti-codon, which is responsible for specific mRNA codon recognition, and the 3' end, to which the tRNAs corresponding amino acid is attached (by aminoacyl-tRNA synthetases). tRNAs cope with the degeneracy of the genetic code in two manners: having more than one tRNA (with a specific anti-codon) for a particular amino acid; and 'wobble' base-pairing, i.e. permitting non-standard base-pairing at the 3rd anti-codon position.
Source: RNAcentral
GUGCUAGUAGCUUAAUUAGGUAGAGCAAAGGAUUGUGGUUCCUUAAGUUGUGGGUUCAAAUCCCAUCUAGCACC